RNAcentral lists this ribosomal RNA (252 nucleotides) under uncultured Bacteroidales bacterium. Its description in RNAcentral is "partial 16S ribosomal RNA". It matches the Rfam family "Bacterial small subunit ribosomal RNA", at positions 524 to 776 of the family's 1533-position model. Lineage: Bacteria; Pseudomonadati; Bacteroidota; Bacteroidia; Bacteroidales. The record is from RNAcentral.
UACGGAGGAUGCGAGCGUUAUCCGGAUUUAUUGGGUUUAAAGGGUGCGCAGGCGGUCUGUUAAGUCAGCGGUCAAAGCCCGGGGCUCAACCCCGGCCCGCCGUUGAAACUGGCAGUCUCGAGUUGGAGAGAAGUAAGCGGAAUGCGUGGUGUAGCGGUGAAAUGCAUAGAUAUCACGCAGAACGCCGAUUGCGAAGGCAGCUUACCGGCGCUCAACUGACGCUGAGGCACGAAAGUGCGGGUAUCGAACAGG